Molecule: ribosomal RNA, 254 nt
Filed under: uncultured bacterium
Lineage: Bacteria
Description: partial 16S ribosomal RNA
Rfam family: Bacterial small subunit ribosomal RNA
Source: RNAcentral
UGGGGAAUAUUGCACAAUGGGCGAAAGCCUGAUGCAGCAACGCCGCGUGAGUGAUGAAGGUCUUCGGAUUGUAAAGCUCUGUCUUUUGGGACGAUAAUGACGGUACCAAAGGAGGAAGCCACGGCUAACUACGUGCCAGCAGCCGCGGUAAUACGUAGGUGGCGAGCGUUGUCCGGAUUUACUGGGCGUAAAGGGUGCGUAGGCGGAUGUUUAAGUGAGAUGUGAAAUACCCGGGCUUAACUUGGGUGCUGCAU